Molecule: ribosomal RNA, 253 nt
Filed under: uncultured prokaryote
Description: partial 16S ribosomal RNA
Rfam family: Bacterial small subunit ribosomal RNA
Source: RNAcentral
UACGGAGGGAGCUAGCGUUGUUCGGAAUUACUGGGCGUAAAGCGCACGUAGGCGGCUUUGUAAGUUAGAGGUGAAAGCCCGGGGCUCAACCCCGGAAUUGCCUUUAAGACUGCAUCGCUUGAAUCCGGGAGAGGUGAGUGGAAUUCCGAGUGUAGAGGUGAAAUUCGUAGAUAUUCGGAAGAACACCGGUGGCGAAGGCGGCGACCUGGUCCUUUACUGACGCUGAGGCGCGAAAGCGUGGGGAGCAAACAGG